Molecule: RNA transcript, 2244 nt
Organism: Haliotis rufescens (red abalone)
Lineage: Eukaryota; Metazoa; Mollusca; Gastropoda; Lepetellida; Haliotidae
Exons: 9
Source: RefSeq, a predicted model, not a curated record
UUUAAUGCCUAUUUAUAAAACUUUAUUGAAAGUGUUACCCUGGUCAGGGGGUCAGUAUAUACGUCUAGACGGUGGUAUAUAUGACAUGGGUGUGGCUGAUCCUAUCUGUGUACGGGAGACGUGACGGUAUUGAGCAAUAUGCUGCCCAUCUGAAAUUUGUCAACGUUGGAUAACUGACAGUCGAUCUUGCUUCAGCAUCCUAGAGAGGUUAUUAUAACAGAAGAUUCCCAAGUGUGACGACGCAGCUGUAUUAACAAAUGAAGCUCUUUUUCAUGUAUGAAGUAUAUAUACAUUGGGCGUCACUGACGCCCAUUCAAAAUUUUUUCUUGUGCGGAGCUUUUGUACCUAUGACACAUAUUUGAGAUCAGCCGAUACCUAGUGCUGAGGCUCGGGUUACACUUACCACACAGACGGACAGAGUGACAAGUUAUUCCACAGGCGUAUACAGUGGCCGGGAUACAUGGAUACAUUAUCACAAAUUCGGGUAAACCCUAUCGUGCGGAUCCGGGGAUCAUAUGUCAAAUAUAUCGUACACGAGCUGCUGUUCACUUCACAAAGCCUUGUCCCAGAUUCUCUACAGUGCCAGGCCAUUGAGCGGGUGUUUCAGUAUGGCCUUCAGCUGCUGGAGGAAAGAGUCAGGCUCUCCUGCAGCCGAGCAAACCUCCAUAGUUUAAAUGAAGAUCAGAUGAAGAUUCUGGAGAAGGAGUUACUCGGGUCUGAAGACAGGCUGAUGGGGGCCUUCAUGUCUGAAGGAAGUUGCGAAGAUAUACCGGAUUACGAACCUCUCUCAGAUGCUGACAAUGAUGCUGAAAUUGAAACAGGUCCUCACAACUUCGACCUUGCACUCUCCAAUCAUCAUCAGGAACUGAUGGCAUGUCUGAACACAAGGGGGACACUUCUGCUCGACGUCAUGGCUCAGAAUGACCUCCUUAGUGAUUCUGACGAGGAGGACAUUCAGAAAUACGAGUUCCAUGGAGAAAGGAACCAACGUGUUCUUGAGAUCCUUUCUACAACAUCACCAAAGAAAAACAUAAAAUGUGUGACUGAAUUCAUUAAAGCUACUAACCCCGAUCUUGGAAGGAGAUUGUCGAAGUCUAUGCGGGAAUUGGCUCGCGGAUCCCGCGAACAAUGUGCAGCAUGUACAGUUGUCACACAAAUCGAUCCAAGUCGCAUUGCAAAGCUUAUGUUUCAUAACAAAACUAUACCUGUCCGCUUUUAUCAAGACCUUAAGAACCCUGCGAUUUCGAGUCAAAAGAAAUGGAAUAUUAUCAAAGAGAAGGAUUUAGACAUUGCUGCAGUAGAGGCCCUACAGCCUAAGUUUCAACAUUUUCAUGACAUGUUUGGAGACGACAAACGCCUUAUCUGCAGAUGCGACAGGAUCAGCGUUGAAGACCUCCCUGCAGGCGUCAUGACAAGAAGUUCAGGGGCGAGUACUUUCCGUAACUGGUUGUCCAAGCCCAAGGACGCAGAAGAACGGGAAAUCAUUCAAAUGAAGAAUGACAUAUUUAACAUCUCCAAGAGUCUAGAGGAUAUAAAAAGCCAAGUUUUCCUGUCACAACAGGAUGACCAGGAGUCUGUACGGUUUUGUUCCACACAUCCUUGGAUGGAAACUGCAGUACAGAGGUCGCCCCCACUUUGUGUCUUCCCACGAUCUCCAUCAUGACACAGCUGUGUACGGGAAUAGGGGUGGGCUCGUCUGGAGACCAAACUUCAAUAAAACACGUGAAUGGAAUCCAGGGGAUGACAAACCCAAGAAAAGAAGUCGGAAUAUGUUCGAGAGACUUAGGAAGAAGCUGCUGCGGAACUAAAUACUUCUGUUCUUGAGUGAGAAGAAGACUGCCAGAGGCCCAAGGAGGUCACUGGCAGAGGGCAUGCAGAUUGGAUCACGGGUCGAGACUGGGAUAUGAAUGAAGGUUUAUCAGGGAAAGAUGUCAAACUUUUCAUUCGUGUCAGGUCAGCACUGGUAUUGCAUAAUCAAAUCAAACAUGGGUAAAGUAUCUCUCGGACUAUUCGUGUCAUUGGAAUGUGCGAGACAGCACAAUUAACGGCAGCAAUGUUUUAAUGCCCAGUCAUGUGCCAAACCCCUGGUGGGGAUAUAUCUAUCACGCUCGAUAUCAGAUAUGUGUAUGUUAUCUAAAUUUAUAUAAGAAGUUAUUGUUAUUACAAAUUGUGACCGCCUCCUUGGUCUAGUGGUAGAGCGUCCACCCGGAGAGCGGAAGGUUCGGGGUUCGAUUCCCGGUCGCG